This 460-nucleotide ribosomal RNA is filed under the name uncultured bacterium. RNAcentral's name for it is "partial 16S ribosomal RNA". It matches the Rfam family "Bacterial small subunit ribosomal RNA", at positions 338 to 795 of the family's 1533-position model. The record is from RNAcentral.
CCUACGGGAGGCAGCAGUGAGGAAUAUUGGUCAAUGGACGAGAGUCUGAACCAGCCAAGUAGCGUGAAGGAUGACUGCCCUAUGGUUUGUAAACUUCUUUUAUAUGGGAAUAAAACGUUCCACGUGUGGGAUUUUGUAUGUACCAUAUGGAUAAGGAUCGGCUAACUCCGUGCCAGCAGCCGCGGUAAUACGGAGGAUCCGAGCGUUAUCCGGAUUUAUUGGGUUUAAAGGGAGCGUAGGUGGAUUGUUAAGUCAGUUGUGAAAGUUUGCGGCUCAACCGUAAAAUUGCAGUUGAAACUGGCAGUCUUGAGUACAGUAGAGGUGGGCGGAAUUCGUGGUGUAGCGGUGAAAUGCUUAGAUAUCACGAAGAACUCCGAUUGCGAAGGCAGUUCACUGGACUGCAACUGACACUGAGGCUCGAAAGUGUGGGUAUCAAACAGGAUUAGAUACCCUAGUAGUC